GUGCUCGCGUCUGCAGCACGCACACUAACACUGGGGCGCUGCAGAGAAGCACAGCGCGGGCCCUGCACGAGGAUGACAUGCAGAUCCGUGAAUUCCACAUUUUU
This is a small nuclear RNA of Vicugna pacos (alpaca), 104 nucleotides long. NCBI's taxonomy places the organism in Eukaryota, Metazoa, Chordata, Mammalia, Artiodactyla, Camelidae. The record is from RefSeq and is a predicted model, not a curated record.